RNAcentral lists this long non-coding RNA (1788 nucleotides) under Theobroma cacao (cacao). RNAcentral's name for it is "long non-coding RNA (TCAC_LNC000366)". The record is from RNAcentral. Lineage: Eukaryota; Viridiplantae; Streptophyta; Magnoliopsida; Malvales; Malvaceae.
GGGCCCCCGAAUAACCAUAAGUAAGGGAGACUGUAAACCUAUAGUUUGGAGGAUGCAAAUCCAAUAGUAGCCUCGAUGAAAUCAACUAUCUACAGCCUAUUCUAAGCCUGAAAUGGGUGGAAAUGAGGGUGGUGAGAUUAUAUAAUCCCAGUGAGUAAACAAACAUCAUAAAAAAUAUCUAAACUUGAGUAAAUGGAGACGAUUAAAAUAUUCCAUCUGAAUAUGUAUUUCAUAACAUAAAUAUUCAUUUCAUUUAAAUAAUCAACAUGGCUUACGAGUAUCUUAAAAGCUUGGCUCCUACCAAAAUCAUUUUCGGGAAUACCAUGGCUGAGGCAUUUAACUGAAUCCUCCAAGGCUGUUAAAAAUUUUGUAUACACGUAAACAUAUUUUUAGUUUGAAAAACACAGUCGUUCCUUGGCGUUAGCGGAGUUCAUCAUCACGAGGUGGUUCGGCGUGACGUGAACUCUAACCAUACCUCAGGAGAUACCCUACGCAUCUUUCGAACCGAGGUACGUAUAUAAUCGGAUUUUGUGCCCCUCUAAUAGGCUGGUCCACAGAACCCGCCCACUGCAGCAAGCUAAACCCACCAUACAAUAAAAUUUGCAAUAGCAUGACAUGGCAAUUAUUUCACAAUCCAGCCUCUCAAGGCUAAAUACAUAGUUCAUAUAUUUCAACACAAAUACCAAUUCAACCAUUCAUGCAAAUAUUAUCAUAAGCCGUUCGAUUCAAACCAUGAAUUUACAACACAUGAAAACAGUCUCCAAUUACUCUAUUUUCAAACCACCAUUCAAUUUGAAGACAAUGUUAUAAAACCAUUUCAUUAAAUCACAUUUUAGUUACUAAACACAAGAAUUCACCAUUUAACUCAUUUUCUAUAAAAUUCACAAAAUCGAAUAAAAAGACCACUUUAGAUAAUUAAAAUGAUGAUAAGGUUACUCACUAUUUUGAAAGUCGAAUUUUUGGAGAACUCCGACUAUCGAUCCUCGGGUAUAAUUUUUUUGCCUUUAUCGGAGGAUUCACCACCUAGACAUAAUGCACAAUCAAGCAAUUUACCACAUUGGUGCUAAAUCGUUAUAAAACUAUAUGGAUGCAUGAAAUGGAAUGCAAAUUGUUCAGAUUAUCGUCUAAACACGGUGUUCUACACAAAUUCAAUUGUGUACCUAAAUAAUACGGUAUUGGCCUAAUUCGAUCUAUCACACGAUUAAUUGGCCAACAUAUCCAAUUCAACUCCAAUUAAUUCCAUUUUUCUUCUAAUUCUCCAAACCAUCAAACACAAGUCAAUUAGCAUAAAAUUUAGCAAAAUCAUCUUCACAUUUUCUCUUGGGAAUUUCGGCCAUGGUGAGUGCAUCAACACUAUGAUUUUCCUACUCGAUUUUCUCACCAUAAUUCAUCAUUUCCUAACCAAUUCACUUGAAAUAAAAUCAAAAUCAUCAUCAAUAUUCCACAUGGAGAAUUCGGCCAAUGAUGGGUGCUGGGAGAAAGUGAAUUUUUCUUGUUGGUUUUUCAUGCUACACAUCACUAACUAACUAAAAACACUAAAAUAUCUUUAAAUCUAACCAAAUCAAGCAUCAAAACACCUCUCCCCAUGUCCGGCCAGCAAGAGACCCAUCAUGAAACCAUGUGAUUCAACCAUGGAAAAUGCAAAAGAAUGCAUAGGAAAGGUAGAUCACAAGCUAGAAUUGAAAAAUCUUACCUUUUUUCACUUGUUUCCUUGAAUUUUCACACUUUUCCCUUGAAUUUUUCCACCUAGGGUUUUUGUUCUUCUUUUCUUCCUUUGUUCUUCCUUUG